CAACCCUCAAGCCCCCGGGCUUGGUGUUGGAGGUCGGCACAAGCGUCCCUCGGGUCGCCGCCGUCUCCCAAAUAUAGUGGCGGUCUCGCUGUAGCCUCCUCUGCGUAGUAACUCACCUCGCACUGGAACGCGGCGCGGCCAAGCCGUUAAACCCCCCACUUCUGAAGG
Molecule: unclassified non-coding RNA, 168 nt
Filed under: uncultured Gliocephalotrichum
Lineage: Eukaryota; Fungi; Ascomycota; Sordariomycetes; Hypocreales; Nectriaceae
Description: sequence contains ITS2
Source: RNAcentral